AUCAGAAGUGCGAAUGCUGACAUAAGUAACGAUAAAGCGGGUGAAAAGCCCGCUCGCCGGAAGACCAAGGGUUCCUGUCCAACGUUAAUCGGGGCAGGGUGAGUCGACCCCUAAGGCGAGGCCGAAAGGCGUAGUCGAUGGGAAACAGGUUAAUAUUCCUGUACUUGGUGUUACUGCGAAGGGGGGACGGAGAAGGCUAUGUUAGCCGGGCGACGGUUGUCCCGGUUUAAGCAUGUAGGCUGGUUAUCCAGGCAAAUCCGGAUAAUCAAGGCUGAGGUGUGAUGACGAGGCACUACGGUGCUGAAGUAACAAAUGCCCUGCUUCCAGGAAAAGCCUCUAAGCAUCAGGUAACAUCAAAUCGUACCCCAAACCGACACAGGUGGUCAGGUAGAGAAUACCAAGGCGCUUGAGAGAACUCGGGUGAAGGAACUAGGCAAAAUGGUGCCGUAACUUCGGGAGAAGGCACGCUGGUGUGUAGGUGAAGUCCCUGCGGAUGGAGCUGAGACCAGUCGAAGAUACCAGCUGGCUGCAACUGUUUAUUAAAAACACAGCACUGUGCAAACACGAAAGUGGACGUAUACGGUGUGACGCCUGCCCGGUGCCGGAAGGUUAAUUGAUGGGGUUAUCCGUAAGGAGAAGCUCUUGAUCGAAGCCCCGGUAAACGGCGGCCGUAACUAUAACGGUCCUAAGGUAGCGAAAUUCCUUGUCGGGUAAGUUCCGACCUGCACGAAUGGCGUAAUGAUGGCCAGGCUGUCUCCACCCGAGACUCAGUGAAAUUGAACUCGCUGUGAAGAUGCAGUGUACCCGCGGCAAGACGGAAAGACCCCGUGAACCUUUACUAUAGCUUGACACUGAACAUUGAGCCUUGAUGUGUAGGAUAGGUGGGAGGCUUUGAAGCGUGGACGCCAGUCUGCGUGGAGCCAACCUUGAAAUACCACCCUUUAAUGUUUGAUGUUCUAACGUUGGCCCCUGACCGGGGUUGCGGACAGUGUCUGGUGGGUAGUUUGACUGGGGCGGUCUCCUCCCAAAGCGUAACGGAGGAGCACGAAGGUUAGCUAAUCCUGGUCGGACAUCAGGAGGUUAGUGCAAUGGCAUAAGCUAGCUUGACUGCGAGCGUGACGGCGCGAGCAGGUGCGAAAGCAGGUCAUAGUGAUCCGGUGGUUCUGAAUGGAAGGGCCAUCGCUCAACGGAUAAAAGGUACUCCGGGGAUAACAGGCUGAUACCGCCCAAGAGUUCAUAUCGACGGCGGUGUUUGGCACCUCGAUGUCGGCUCAUCACAUCCUGGGGCUGAAGUAGGUCCCAAGGGUAUGGCUGUUCGCCAUUUAAAGUGGUACGCGAGCUGGGUUUAGAACGUCGUGAGACAGUUCGGUCCCUAUCUGCCGUGGGCGCUGGAGAAUUGAGGGGGGCUGCUCCUAGUACGAGAGGACCGGAGUGGACGCAUCACUGGUGUUCGGGUUGUCAUGCCAAUGGCACUGCCCGGUAGCUAAAUGCGGAAGAGAUAAGUGCUGAAAGCAUCUAAGCACGAAACUUGCCCCGAGAUGAGUUCUCCCUGAGACUAUAAGUCUCCUGAAGGAACGUUAAAGACGAUGACGUUGAUAGGCCGGGUGUGUAAGCGCAGCGAUGCGUUGAGCUAACCGGUACUAAUGAACCGUGAGGCUUAACCUU
Molecule: ribosomal RNA, 1665 nt
Filed under: Klebsiella pneumoniae
Lineage: Bacteria; Pseudomonadati; Pseudomonadota; Gammaproteobacteria; Enterobacterales; Enterobacteriaceae
Description: bacterial LSU rRNA
Rfam family: Bacterial large subunit ribosomal RNA
Source: RNAcentral